AAUCAACGCUGGCGGCGUGCCUAACACAUGCAAGUCGAACGAGAAAGUGGAGCAAUCCAUGAGUAAAGUGGCGACCGGGUGAGUAACACGUGACUAACCUACCCUGAAGUGGGGAAUAACCUCGGGAAACCGGGGCUAAUACCGCAUAACAUCGCGAGCUGUAAACGCUUGUGAUCAAAGGAGCAAUUCGCUUUUGGAGGGGUCGCGGCUGAUUAGCUAGUUGGUAAGGUAACGGACGACCUAAGGACUUAGAUCAGUAUCCGGCCGUCGAGAGGGCGGCACGGAC
RNAcentral lists this ribosomal RNA (286 nucleotides) under uncultured bacterium. RNAcentral describes it as "partial 16S ribosomal RNA". It matches the Rfam family "Bacterial small subunit ribosomal RNA", at positions 32 to 309 of the family's 1533-position model. The record is from RNAcentral.